CCGGACCCUUGGCGUCACUUCCAAGCUACGAAGCUCCAACGCAACAAACUGAUUUACAACCCACUGACAAAUAGUAAUUUAAACAUAACUCUUGUGCUUUUAUAUCUGAAUAUAGACCAGGAUUUAGUGGCCAAACAAGUGCAUAUUUGGUGUAACUCGUUCGUCGUGCGUGAAGUUAAAUGCACAUUUGGGAUUUUAACCUCGCGUGGGCCGCGGGGGCGGACUGUUUGACCCACAGACUACGGCACUUUUUUGGAGAUGUCGACACUCGAGCUCCGGGCCGUUUGUCGUUCUUUGGCAGGUGACGCCGGCUGUCUCGUCUCCCAGCGCCGUUUAUCGUACCGGGAAACAUGUGGGAGUCAUUCUUCGUUCAUCCCUCCUUUAGACGCGCAAACAGCUGCUGCAGCUGUAAAUCCUCCCAUCAGGACCAGUGACGUGACUCCUUCAGCCGGACACACAGACUGCUGUCUCCCCCCCGCCCCCCCGUGGUUAUUAUUUCAGGCUGAUCACUUGAGCUUUGCGAUCAGUGACCCUCUGAGCUCACAGCCGACUCGUCCUCCUCGUCGCUCCGUCCUCUCGUGUCUCUCGGGCUUCACACCCUCCACCAUGCGGUCUCUGCUGGAGAGCAGCUGGAUGAAGUUUGGGCCGGCGGGCCGGGACUCUCUGGACUGGUCCCCUGGUCCCUCGGCGCUGCCCUUCCCCAGCGGACAGGCUGCGGGCCAGAGCUCAGGUGAGGCCAUCAUCAGCGCGGGAUCCAUCACCGCCAUCACCGUAGCAACCGUCUCCCUCCUCCUCCUCCUCCUCUUCAGCGGCCUCGGCCUCCUGAUGUGGCGCCGCAGGCGCGGCUUCAGCUUCAACAGCAAACUGGGGUUGGCCAACGUGAUCGCCCUGGAGGACCUGCAGGACCCGGAGAGGAACUGCGAGCUGCUGUCCUCCAUCCGACGCAGCCAGAGGCACCGGGCGCCCAGCGCCAGCUCCGAGCAGCAGGACCCCUCGGACGGCGUCUUCCUCAUGGUCUACCUGCCCUCGCCGUACGAACACACGCUCACCAGGAUCGCCAGAGCCGCCAGCACGAGCAGCUCCCACGAGCUGCUUCCGCCGAGUCCCGGGCCGGAGACGGGCGGCCGGGACGAAGAAGACGGGACGAAGCUGAGCGACGAGGCGACCCGAGAGGAAGAAAUCAAGGCCGACUGAAAUCAAGGCGGGAGUACGACAACACAUCAGGAAAACAUCAUCGAACCUUCCUACCCACCGAGAGGCGUCGAGGAGAGACGACCGGGAUCGAGACCCCAGCACCUGUCUUCAAGCAGCCCUUUGGAUGAUGCAGUGAGUCUCCUUCCAAACAGACGAGUUGAUGCUGGCUGAACGCCCGUGACUCUGAUACAAAAUGACUGGUUUCAUUUUCCCAGGCGGCCUUGAUGGUCUUUCACAGGAAUCAAACCGACUGAUAUUUCAGAUGACAGUCCUCUGAGACCCCGUCUGUGCUCUGCUGCCCUUGUAACAAGUACACUAUAGAAAUGCCUGAAGUGUAGAAUGGACUGAGUGCUUUAAAAUAACUUUACUCAUCACACUUUCGCUUGUGCUGUUUGCACCUAGGAUUGUAUAAAUGUACAUGUGGAUUGAAAUCAUUCUAUUUUCUACUCUAAUACUCAAUGUGUAUUUCACUGUAGCAUCCUUAUAGAGAUGUAUUUUGUAAUGUUGAUAUUUGCUGUUUGAUAUUCACGGUCUCGUUGUCUCAUUGUUUGACCUCUUGAUACAAUGAUUCACAAUAAAGUGAAGGAGAAAGUGGAGCAGUUCUCUCCCUCCCUGUCAGCCAUCCUGCAGUGUUUUUGGAGUAUUUCACUUCAAACAAAAAGAACGAAAUCAUUGUUUAAACACUUUCCGUCCCCGCUUUGCCCAACAAGACACCUCCUGCAGGCCUGACGCAUCAGUUUCCUCUCCGGGUGGCGAAGGCGGAACGUUUACACUCGCAGGAGAGAAAGAAAGGCCAAGCAAAGCAAAUCGUACGCAAAUCAUCACCACUGGACCUCAAAC
Molecule: long non-coding RNA, 2034 nt
Organism: Gasterosteus aculeatus aculeatus (three-spined stickleback)
Lineage: Eukaryota; Metazoa; Chordata; Actinopteri; Perciformes; Gasterosteidae
Source: Ensembl